GACGAACGCUGGCGGCGUGCCUAAUACAUGCAAGUUGAGCGCUGAAGGUUGGUACUUGUACCAACUGGAUGAGCAGCGAACGGGUGAGUAACGCGUGGGGAAUCUGCCUUUGAGCGGGGGACAACAUUUGGAAACGAAUGCUAAUACCGCAUAAAAACUUUAAACACAAGUUUUAAGUUUGAAAGAUGCAAUUGCAUCACUCAAAGAUGAUCCCGCGUUGUAUUAGCUAGUUGGUGAGGUAAAGGCUCACCAAGGCGAUGAUACAUAGCCGACCUGAGAGGGUGAUCGGCCACAUUGGGACUGAGACACGGCCCAAACUCCUACGGGAGGCAGCAGUAGGGAAUCUUCGGCCCUGGACGCCCGUCUGACCGAGACACGCCGCGUGAGUGAAGAAGGUUUUCGGAUCGUAAAACUCUGUUGGUAGAGAAGAACGUUGGUGAGAGUGGAAAGCUCAUCAAGUGACGGUAACUACCCAGAAAGGGACGGCUAACUACGUG
This 497-nucleotide ribosomal RNA is filed under the name uncultured bacterium. RNAcentral's name for it is "partial 16S ribosomal RNA". It matches the Rfam family "Bacterial small subunit ribosomal RNA", at positions 28 to 507 of the family's 1533-position model. The record is from RNAcentral.